Gossypium raimondii (Peruvian cotton) is the source of this 107-nucleotide non-coding RNA. The record is from Rfam. NCBI's taxonomy places the organism in Eukaryota, Viridiplantae, Streptophyta, Magnoliopsida, Malvales, Malvaceae.
AACCCAUGGUGAGGGCGCCAUCGCAAUAAGUCCUUAUACCUCUCCCAUGCAUCAUAUAACGUCUUUAAAUUGAUUUGUACAAAGGAAGAGAUAUCAUUCCUCAACUU